Myripristis murdjan (pinecone soldierfish) is the source of this 96-nucleotide long non-coding RNA. RefSeq lists it as uncharacterized. The record is from RefSeq and is a predicted model, not a curated record. The transcript is spliced from 3 exons. NCBI's taxonomy places the organism in Eukaryota, Metazoa, Chordata, Actinopteri, Holocentriformes, Holocentridae.
AUGUGGUAAACAUACACAUAUAGUAGAUGGAGGCAUGCAAUCUUUAAAAAGGCAACAUUGAAGUCAGUGCACGGAUUAGUGUGUGAUAAUUAGAUU